Homo sapiens (human) is the source of this 381-nucleotide long non-coding RNA. RefSeq lists it as uncharacterized. The transcript is spliced from 2 exons. The record is from RefSeq and is a predicted model, not a curated record. NCBI's taxonomy places the organism in Eukaryota, Metazoa, Chordata, Mammalia, Primates, Hominidae.
AGUACUCCUGUCUCUCAGGCAGGACCGUAAAACACUGCAAACAGGAGGAAGCAGGAAGAAGUCACCCAUGAAGUCCUUGCCCCUGAUAAAAAACAAAACUCAUCCGGCCUCUGAAGUCAUAAUAGUUCUUGCAGCUUGGAGUGUGCCGCCAUCCUCCCCAAACACAUCUCGACUCUGAAAGUGACCCUAUGAAGGCUAUGACUGCUAAGCAGCAGGCAGAACAGGCAACCAUGGAGAAGAUUGUAUGCUGAGAUGGAAGACCCAAAAGAUUGAAGCAGCCUGGAUAACUCGGGUACCACACAGAGGACAACUGCCCUAGAGAGUUGCCUUGACCCGCAAAAGACAUUGCCUGAGAUGAAAAUAAACUUUUAUUGUGUUAAA